UCUGGGUCAGCAAAAAGAGUGGAGGAUGUACUUGAUAUUUUAACAAUUUUGGAGUAAAGUUUUGUUUAAGAUCUCAAAGUGUUAAAGUAAUUGGUAUGAUAACAUGGGACAAGGAGAUGUAUAACAUAAUCAGGCUGCUCAGGGACUUAAGUGCUGACUGUGAGAUGCCAGGUGUUUAAUAAUGAUGUGCAGUAUUAAUCCUGAAAAGGUGAGCACAACCACAAGAAGUUCUAGGAAACACAGGCAGUGGACUUAAAACAGACAUGGAUUAAAGAAAUAGUAAUUUAAAUAAUAAGAAACAUUUGAAACAAAUUUAUGAUUGAAACACUUCCAGCAAAAUAAUUGCAAAAAAAACCAACAAAGUGUUGGAUUCUAAGAUUCCAAAACCUACAGCUAGAAAAAAAACUGUUUGUGUUAUAGUGAAUGUAGGGUAUUCUAUUCUGUAUUUGGACUAAAGGAUAUGAUAUUUUUUUUAUUAAAUUUUGUGAAAGAAAAUUUAAUGUGAUACAUUAUUGAUAAUUUUAUCCCAAAAUAAUUAUGUGAUCAUGUUAAACUCAUAAAAUUCCACCCCCUAAAUUCUGUCCUAGAAUUCCGCCCAGAAUCUUGUUUGACAAUUCCGCUCCGAAAUUCCGCCCCAAGGUUCCGCCCCAAGAUUCCGCUUCAAAAUUCCGCCCCAAGAUUCCGCUUCAAAAUUCCGCCCAAUUCAUUUGCAUAUUUCGUCCCAAUUCCGCCCAGAAUCCGUUCCAUUUCCGCCUGGAAUCCGGCCGGAAUCCGUGCCAAAAGCAAAUGGUUUAACACUUGUAUAUUCGGGGGAGAAUUUAAUUUUCUGGGCGGAAUCUGCCUUUGAAUUCCGCCCCAUUUCCGUGCAGAAAAUUUCGU
Long non-coding RNA from Ruditapes philippinarum (Manila clam), 879 nucleotides. RefSeq lists it as uncharacterized. The transcript has 3 exons. NCBI's taxonomy places the organism in Eukaryota, Metazoa, Mollusca, Bivalvia, Venerida, Veneridae. The record is from RefSeq and is a predicted model, not a curated record.